RNAcentral lists this long non-coding RNA (1337 nucleotides) under Heterocephalus glaber (naked mole-rat). RNAcentral describes it as "lncRNA (ENSHGLG00100038991.1)". The record is from RNAcentral. Lineage: Eukaryota; Metazoa; Chordata; Mammalia; Rodentia; Bathyergidae.
CUCUACCUCUUCACUAAGUUUUCAACGUAGUUAAGUGAACAUUCUGCAGUGUUUAUUAUUAAGAAAGAGAAAAAACUGGGGAAGUAUGGAAAAAAAAGCCCAUCACAAUUGCUGGCACCUCCGUCUUCUCUGCUCAUAGCUAUGAUUCUCAAAACAGCUGUCCACAUUCACUGUCGUUUGUUACUCCCACUUAGCCCUUAACCCUGACCCAUUUGGAUUCAACCCUGUGACACCAUCGAAAUAGAUCUUCCCAGCUUCCAGGGACCUUGAGCAAUAAGACUCAGCCCCAUCUCACUUGACUUCUGAGCCUCAGCUUACGGGCCGCUCCCUCCUUGAAAGGUUCUCUUCCCAUCUCGUCACAGCUCUGGAGUCUCCUGAGCAAGAUCCUUCUCCAGCGGCUCCCAGGGUUGGAGUUGGCUCACAGCGUGGUCCUGGUUACCCUCAAGCGCACUGUCUCCAGGGCCCUCCUCCAUGCCCAGACCCGCAGCUCUUCACACUUGCUCCUGAGCUCUCAGGGGUGCUUGCCAGCCCCUCCAUCUCUACAGGUCCCAAAUGUGCUCAUGUUCUCCCAGCUGUGUUUCUCUCCCGAUGCCUUUGUUUCCAUUAUUCAUCCAGUCAUGACAGCCAGACACCCAGAAAAUCUGCUUUGUCCUGCCUCUCCCAUUCCUGCACCCCCACCGACCACCAGGGCUUGUGUACUUGACCUCUUCUGUUUCUUUGGGCUCAGUCAGUUGUCCAUCUCUACUCCCAUUCUCCUCAUUGUCUACACUGCAGCUCAAGUGAUUGUUUCCAAACAAAAAACCUGCUCAGGUUUAGCACCUUUUAGAAAAGCUGGGAGAGGUUUGGGUGGCUCGGAUGCUGGGGUACCUGGAGAAGUGGGGCCAGUGAAAAUCACUUGGGCUUUUUUAUUUGAGAUCUGCCUUGGGUGUUGUGCAUAAAGUAUAAGAAUAGAAGUUGUAUUUCUGACAAUGAGGAAAUGUUCAAAAGAUUUUUUGUAUGAAAAUGUAGCAUUGUGUAGUUCACAUUUUAAAAAAAAUGGUUGUGACCCCAGAGAAACUGACUUGGAGGCAGGAAGAGAGCACAGAAUGGAUAGGGGUUGGGGGUCAGCCACUCAGGUUGUCAGGUGGAUUGGGACAAAAGGGUGGACUCAGUCCACUGAAGCAGUGAAUGUGCACAUGAACUAUCUCUCUGAUGCACAUUUCCACAGCAUUUCCCUGGUCCACGAAGCAUGGACGAGGCACCCCUCUGCCCCUCUUGGAGUGAGGCCUCUGGCCUGCUGCCUAGAGCCAGUGAGCAGGUGGGUGAGACUGCACAGCAGCACCGUGUGGAAUGUUUUU